This is a non-coding RNA of Pantherophis guttatus, 7647 nucleotides long. The record is from RefSeq and is a predicted model, not a curated record. Lineage: Eukaryota; Metazoa; Chordata; Lepidosauria; Squamata; Colubridae.
AAAGUAACUCAGUCCAGUUGGUGAACAACUAGGAAGAAAUAUUUCAGAUCAUUUAAAAAAAUUCCACUGAAAUGAAUAUGGUCUGAACCCAAACAAUUAUGCUCCUAUGCAUGGAGCAAACCCCACCCUCACUAGCACUGAUGAUGUUACCUAGUUGGGUAAUAAAACUUCUGCAACCAAUCAACCAGACUCAGAGAACACCAAGACUAUAUAGCUAAAGUUUCCUAAUCAACUACUUCUCUAAUUUUGUUGUUGUUGUUAGUUGCAAAGGAGUGUCCAACCCAUCAUGACCCCAUGGACAACGUUCCUCCAGGCUUUCCUGUACUCUACCAUCCUCUGGAGUCCAUUUUUUUAAAAAAUAGAUUUAUAUGCCGCCCUUCUCCGGAGACUCAGGGCGGCUUACAAUGCGUUAAGCAAUAGCCUUCAUACUUUUGUAUAUUUAUACAAAGUCAGCUUAUUGCCCCCACAAUCUGGGUCCUCAUUUCACCUACCUUUGAAAGGAUGGAAAGCUGAGUCAACCUUGAGCCUGGUGAGAUUUGAACUUGCAGUAAUUGCAAGCAGCAGAUGUUAAUAACAGUGUUUUAGUCCACUGUACUGCAGGCUCUUCUUCUCCAUUGAGUCCUUCUCAUUAGGUGGCCAAAGUAUUUGAGUUUCAUCUUCAGGAUCUGGCCUUCUAAAGAGCAGUCAGGGUUGAUCUCCUCUAGGACUGACUGGUUUGAUCGCUUAAUUCAAAGGCCUCAAUUCUUUGGUGCUCAGCUUUUCUUAUGGUCCAACUUUCACAGCCAUACAUUGCAACUGGGAACACCAUAGCCUUGACUAUACACACUUUUGUUGGCAGGGUGAUGUCUCUGCUUUUUAGUAUGCUGUCUAGAUUUGCCAUAGCUUUCUUCCUGAGGAGCAAACAUCUUUUAAUUUCUUGGCUGCAGUCCCCAUCUGUGGUGAUCUUCGAGCCCAGGAAAAUAAAAUCUGUCACUACCUCCAUUUCUUCCCCAUUUAUUUGCCACGAAUUCAGAGGGCCAGAUGCUAUGAUCUUAGUUUUCUUAAUGUUGAGUUUCAAGCCAACUUUUGCACUCUCCUUCUUCACCUGCAUUAAGAGGCUCUUUAAUACCUCUUCACUUUCUGCCAUUAGAGUGGUGUCAUCUGCAUAUAUGAGGUUGUUGAUAUUUCUCCCAGCAAUCUUAACUCCAACUUUUGAUUCAUCUAGCCCCGCCUUUCUCAUGAUGUGCUCUGCAUAUAAGUUAAAUAGGCAGGGCGACAGUAUACAGCCUUGCCGGACUCCUUUCCCAAUUUUGAACCAAUCAGUGGAUCCGUGUCCAGUUCUCACUGUUGCUUCUUGGCCUGCAUAUAGGUUUCUCAAGAGACAAAUAAGAUGGUCUGGUACUCCCAUCUCUUUAAGAACUUGCCACAAUUUGUUGUAAUCCAUACAAUCAAGGGCUUUAGCAUAGUCAAUGAAGCAGAAGUAGAUGUUUUUCUAGAACUCCCUAGCUUUCUCCAUGAUCCAGCAUAUCUUGGCAAUUUGAUCUCUAGUUCCUCUACCUCUUUGAAAUCCUGUCUGAACUUCUGAUAGUUUUCCAGCUAGGAACUCGAGACUCCAGGCAUGGAUAUCAUUCUGUCUUCUGGCUCUAUGGACUGAGUUCAAUCUUAAAGAGACAUCCUCCUUUGCACAUAUUCCCAGAUUCAACUCAGUCCUGAGCUCAGUUGGAAGGAUUUAGAGUUCUCUCUAGUUUAAAUUUAAUUUAAACUCAAGGGAUAAUGUUUCUGAUUUAUAUAUUUUUUUUUUGGUUUUUCUUUUCCUUUGUGUGUGUAACUUGAGUUUUAAAGAGUUUUUCAGAGUCACGGCAAUGCGAUUUGGUGGCGGCGACUAUCGGGCGCAUGUGCUGAAGAAAGAUCGUCGUGGGAGGGGGUUUCCUCGGCUGAGGAGCCCUUGCUGCAUCCAUGCCCAGCCUUAAAUUUAUUUUUGUUGCCUAGGUUUGAAGAGUGCUAGGCUGGGGGAUCUCAGCUGUUUGGCGGCUAGAAGAAAUGGCCGCCAUUUUGUGAAGUGCCGAGCUGCGUGUGGGCUCUGAUCAGGCAGUGGACGUCGGGAUUCAGCCAUUACUGCCUUGUGCCCUUACCACAUACCCUCCAAGGCUGUAAGUAGUAAGGAGGGGGGUGGAAGCACCGUUUAGAGGACCUUGGGCAUUUUGGUGCCAAAGAAGGCUGAGGAGGCCGCCGGAUGCGGCGGCCAUUUUGUUUCCCCCUAUUUUUAAAGGCACAGAGCAGCAGCUGCCAUAGGGUUCAGGUUCUCGGCCCUCUAAUGCAUCUUAAGCCCUCAGGGACGCACAAAGGAGUCCGGACCCGGGUUCUAUUCCCCUGAGGUGAAGAGGAAGCCUGGUCACAGUUUGCUGACCAGGGAGGGGAGGGCCAUAGUGCAGUGAUGUGUAGUCUGCACAGGUCUUUUUUCCCCUCUUUUGAACUGGAGAACUAGACUGAUUUCUUACUUCAGCUCCACUUCUAAGCUACGUAUUUUGCCUCAAAGGAUCGUUUUUCAUCAGAUCAAGUGAGGCUGUUUCAUCUAUUCUGCAGUUGAGGAUUAUUCCUUGCAAUACUGGUGGAAUAGAGAUUUAAGGUGUUUUUCUGGACACAGUAUGGAGAGCAGUGGAGCGUCUCACAGAAGAUCUACCCGCAGCACUAAUAGCGGCCAUGGGUCUAAGUCUGGCAGUCAGAGUGCAGCAGCAAAGAUCAAGGCCAAGACUAUGGCUCUCACAUGCCCAUUAAGUGCGCAGGAAAGGGCAGAGAAGAGAUUACAUGAUGCUUUAGAACAGCAACUGGCAAAGAGUCAAAAGGCAGCAGCAAAGCGUAGACAUUUAGAUAGUCCACAGCCUGCUCAAGAUUCUGAUUUAGCAGAACCAGGGCCUUCUACCAGUUUGUUAGUGUCUAGAGAAUUAUCUCCUCCACCUUUGGAAAGAGAGCAGGUAGGGGAACAGGAACAGAGUCUAUCUCCUUCACCUGCGGUGCCACCUCAACCAGAGGGUCAGGCCUCUGGACAGGAAGUUGAGAUGCCUGCGAUUGUGCAGCAAUGGAUUGCUGAGGCAGUGCAGCGGGGCUUUGCAGCUGGUCCUAAAGAUCACAGCGAAAGAAUGUGGAGGUGGUUAAGCCACAGAGUUCUGUUGAACAGAGACCAGCUAGGUCACAGCCAAAAUGGGAAUCUGAGGUCUCAGUUUCCUCUUCAGAGUCAGGGAGCUCAUUAGCAGGUGUUUCUGAGUGGUGGGAUCAGGAAUUUUCUGAGGAAGAAGGUCUCUUACCGAAACAGCCUGUAUUCAAGGGGUUGUUUCAACCACAUCUUUUUCAGGCUUUGCUCAUGAAGGCUAAGGUCACCACAAAGCAGGGUACUUCGGAAGAGACAAGGGUUGGAUCAGAACAGGAUCCAGCAGAUUUACUGUUUUCAGAACCAGUUGCAGAAACUGAUAUUAUACCAGCUCCCCAGAUGUUUCUAGACAUGAUUAAGAAACAGUAGGAUUCACCAGGAACUCAUACCAGCUCCUCUUCUUAUGAAAGGAGAUUUUAUAACACCACACCUGUUCUCACGGAGCUCCUGCAUAUCCCAGAUGUGGAUGAAUAGGUGCUAGCAUUGUCCUCUUCCUCAGCUACCUUAGCCGAGCCAGAAGAGGUGCUAAAACCGGAUGACCGUAAGUUAGAGCAGGCUCUUAAGAGGGCUCACCAGGCGGCAGCCUGAGGAAUCAAAGUAGCCACGGCAGCGUCCUUCUUCACCAGGGCAUCGCUGUUGUGGCUUAAACAGAUGCAGGACAGGGUACCGGUUUCAGAUCUCAGAGCUCAUCAGGAUUUCAAUAAGAUAGUGGCAGCAGCGGAGUAUACAGCUGAUACCACUCUACAUUCAGCAAAAUUUGGAGCGCGAGCCAUUGCUUCUACGGUGGUGGCUAGGAAACUCUUAUGGUUAAAAAAUUGGCAGGCAGAUUCCAAGCGUAGAUGGCGCUUGGCCUCUGUUCCUUUUAAAGGAUCCAAGUUAUUUGGGUCAGCUUUAGAUCCCCUUUUAUCUGAACCAAAGGACAGGAAGAAGGUUCUUCCAGCUUUAUCACGAGAGGCGGACACCCGAUCUACUUCACAGGAUCGGAGGUCUUAUUUUCAUCCAUAUGGGGGAGCAGGUUUCUAUAAAGGUCAGAGAUGGUUUUACCAAGGCCAGGGCAUUCAAGCAGGGCAGUUCCAUCAGUCGGGGAUGGGACAAUCAGAUAGGAACAGAGCAGGUCAGCCCAAGCGUUCCUUUCAUGGAGGGAAUUCACGUUCCUUUCGCAGAUCCUGUUGACUGGAGGCUCGAAGCUUCCAUUGGUGGCCAGCUAGGCCUUUUUGCAGACCAGUGGGAGAAAUCCAUCACAGAUGCAUGGGUAAGGGAGACCAUCACUUAGGUCUAGCUCUAGAAUUUCUUGUGGUUCCCCCAAGGGUUUUUGUCUGUUGCCCAAAGUCAAGAGAUGUAACAAAGAGAAGGUGUAUGGAAACAGCCAUUCAGCAUCUGAUAGACAUAGCAGCAGUGGAGCCCGUCCCCUUAUCAGAACAGGGGAAGGGUUAUUACUCAAUGCUGUUUGUCAUACAAAAACCCUCGGGGGAACUUCGACCAAUUCUAAACUUGAAGGGCCUAAACAAGUUCUUGAGGUAUCGGAGGUUCAAGAUGCACUCCCUCUGGUCAAUUUUGGCAAAUGUUCGGAGCGGGGACUUCUUGACCUCCAUCGACCUCACAGAUGCAUAUCUGCACAUUCCAAUUCAUCAGGAGUACUGACGGUACCUGAGGUUUUAUUACGACAGCAGACACCUCCAAUACCGAGCGCUUCCAUUCGGCCUAGCCUCUGCUCCCAGGGUCUUCACAAAGAUCCUGGCGGCAUUGGGAGAGGUACUCAGGUCCAAGCCGAUUCAUCUCCAGGCUUACCUGGAUGACAUUUUGGUGCAGUCAACAUCUCUAGCUCGGGCGGAGUCAGAUCUGAAUAUCACGGUCGAAUGUCUACAGGCUCACGGGUUCUCUAUAAAUAUAGAGAAGAGCCAUUUUCUCCCAACAAAUUGCCUCAUUCACCUAGGGGCAGUUAUAGACACCAUUCAGUUCCUUCUCCAGACAGGUUGGAGGACAUCAAGAGUUUGACCAGAUGGGUGAUGCCUGCACCCAAAGUGACUUUAGCACAGCUCUCCACCCUGUUAAGCAAGAUGAUUUCGUGCAUAGAGAUUGUGCCAUGGGUGAGGUUUCACACCAGGCCUCUGCAAUGGUUCAUGUUACCGUUUCAGAAGUCAGGAAGGGCAACAAGGUCAGGAUUCUGGGGUUGGUCAGAGCAUCCCUGAGCUGGUGGAUGUCCAGACGGCUGUCACAGGGAUGUUACUUCCUAGAACAGGAGAGAGUCACAGUGACCACAGACGCCAGUUUAGUAGGAUGGGGGUGCUCAUUGCCAGCAUCAGAUGGCGCAGGGUGUUUGGUCACGGACGGAGGCACGGAAGUGCAUCAAUUGGCUAGAGCUGAGGGUGGCAUGCUUGGCACUCAGGCACUUCAGUCCCUACCUCUUGAACCACCAUGUACUCCUUAUGACAGACAACAUUACAGUAAAAGCCCAUGUAAACAGGCAGGGGGGUACACGAUCCCAGACUCUCAUGAAGGAGGCAGAGAGGCUCUGUCAUUGGGUGAAGCAAAAUUUGGGGUCCAUCAAAAUGGAACAUUUGGCCGGACAGGACAACACGUGGGCGGAUUGGCUAAGCAGGGAGGCCUUAGAUCAGUCGGAAUGGGGGCUGGACCCGACAUUAUUCCAGGAGAUUGUGAAACGUUUCGGUCAGCCGACUAUCGACCUCUUCACCUCACGGACGAAUGCCCAGCUACCCCGGUUUUUCGCUCGAUUCCCAUGUCAGGGAGCGGAAGGAGUAGACGCUCUUCAUUGCCCUUGGCCCGAGGGCCUGUUAUUUGCCUUUCCCCCUCUGACACUUCUUCCGAAGGUCAUCAGUCAUAUUCUUCACUUCAGGGCAGAGCUCAUCCUGGUAGCUCCUCCUUGGCCACGGCGACCGUGGUUUGCGGAUCUGGUGAGUCUAUCGGUCGCACCGCCCUGGAAGAUUCCGCCCGAUAGGGUCUGCCUCUCUCAGGGACCCGUUUGUCACCCAGAUCCGCAAUGGCUUUACUUAAGCGUGUGGAGGUUGAGCGGCGAUUGCUUGAAGGGAGAAAUUUCACCACAAGCGUGAUAGAGACCAUGCAGGCUGCCAGGCGCCCGUCGACGGCACACAUUUAUAACUCCACCUGGUGAACAUUCUGUUUGUGGUGCUCGGGGCGGAGGAUUCAGGCGACCAAGGCAACAGUGCAGCAGCUUCUGGAGUUUCUGCAAGCUGGGUUGGAGAAAGGGUUAUCACCAGCAACCCUUCGUAGGCAAGUGGCUGCUUUAGCUUCAGUGUUAUCGUGUGGGAGGAGAAUUUCUGUUGCUCAACAUCCUGAUGUAAGGAUUUUCCUCGGGGGGGGGGGGGGGGGACUAACUUGAGACCAGCGGUGGUACACCGUUAUCCCACCUGGGAUCUCCAGAAGGUGUUACAGGCCUUGUCUACUACACCUUUUGCACCACUUAGGCAGGUCCACCUCAGUUUCUUAACAUAUAAGACUCUUUUCCUUGUGGCCAUUAUAUCGGCCAGACGCCGAUUUUAGAGCUUGCGGCUCUCUCUGUGAGGGAAGACUUGUGUAUCUUUCAUGCGGAUAGAGUUGUUCUACGUUUAGAUCCGGCCUUCAUAACCAAAAUUAAUUUGUGGUUCCAUCGGGCACAAGAAUUGGUACUUCCAGAUUUUUGCCCGAAUCCAUCUCACUCCAGGGAAAAGCUCUGGCAUAAGCUGGAUGUGAGACUAGCAUUAAGGAUUUACAUUAAGAAGACAAGGUCAUUUCGGAGAUCGGAGGCCUUAUUUGUAUCCUUCUUGCCAGCUAUGAUGGGGCUGAAGCUUACCAGCUCAGCAGUGGGCAGAUCGAUCAGGGCUACCAUCGCCAGAGCUUAUGAAGCUCAGUCACUGCCUCGGCCCAGGGGGAUAACUGCUCAUUCGACUCACAGUACGGCUACCAGCGCGGCCUGGGCAACUAGAGCAUCAGUGGAAGAGAUCUGCAGAGCGGCGACGUGGUCAUCUCCCUCCCCGUUCAUCCGACACUACCAGAUUGAUGCUUAUGCCUCAGCAGAGGCUGCAUUUGGACGGAGGGUUCUGCAACGUGUGUUGGAGAUGCCCAGAUUGGAGGACCAGACUUCUUCCCACCCUUGAGGACUGUUGGCUUUGGUAAGUCCCAUGCCUGGAGUUUCGAGUUCCUAGCUGAAAAAUGGGUGUUGGUCCUACCUGAUACACCCUUUUCCGGCAGGAACGAGAAACUCCAGCCCCACCCUGAUUUGGGGGUCUGGUCUUGGAGGUGUCCUUGGGGUGCCAUUGCAGGUGCACUAUCCUGGAAACCUCGUGGGACAUCGUUGAAUCUGGGAGCGUGUGCAAAGGAGGGCGUCUCUUUAAGAUUGAACUCAGUCCAUAGAGCCAGAAGACAGAGUGAUACCCAUGCCUGGAGUCUCUCAUUCCUGCUGAAAAAGGGUGUAUCAGGCAUGUCUCUCCUGCCACCAACAGAUCCACCGGAACGCUCCCAUCUGUCCUCUCUGCAAAGCCAAAAGCCGAUCACGUAAUCCAAAGAAA